AUGACUCUCCACUGGGCAUGUCUGCACAGACACCUCUCAUCUCCACCUCCCUAUUUCCAGCCUCUCGACAGCUCAGGAAGAUGCGUUGACUCACCUCGAUGGGUCUCUCAACCACCCCCUGACCCCUGCCCGAAAUGGACCCUCUUCUGUCAUACUGCUUUCAGGAAGUCCCGCCAGCAUUUUCUGCUGAUGUCCCAUGAAAUAAAGCAAAAUGGAUGCAAACUCCAAAGUCCAUGGAGGAAGGAGGUGUGGACCUUCCAUCAAAGAGGACUCAGGGCAAGAGAGGAAGGAAGAAAAAAAAUGCUGAGCAACUCAGGCCAUCAACCACACCUUCCAACCUGAAGCCUGGAGAGAAGGGACGUGUUUCCCAUUUCCCCCUUCAGAUCCAACCUCUGCCCUUCCCUUCCCAACUCUGUGCCCUGGGAUACUGAUGGACGUAGCCUGCACCUCCCAGAGUCUGUGACCCUCUGGAAUCCAGGUGAGUUUAGACGGUGGGAGGCACUGGCAGGAGCUGGGAGGCAACCUUCCCUGUGUGGUUGCUGCUGCAGUGAGCUGUUUCCUCCAUCAGUCCUGACUUUUGCCGGGCAGCCCCUCCACCACAGCUCUCCAACUGAACCCUGGUAUCAUCUGGACUUUAUUUCCUCUCACUUCUCAGGCUCGGUGAUAACGGUUCCUCUUCUACUUUGAUAGACUCUGGGAGCCUUUGCCUCCUUCAGGACUUCCCCUAAUGCUUCCCAAUCGGCUGUGCAGACUCUUAAUAACCCCAUGGGAAUGCACUUUCUAUUUUCUGCUAGAAGCCUGACUGCGACAAAGCAUGUGUCCUCCAUUUGGAAGACACUGUAGAUGUUGCAUCUGAGGAGAAAAUGCUGAGGGUGAGAAACAAGCUGAAGAUCUACCUGGUGGCAGACUCAGGAGAGGAAGGGGUGAGACUCUGCAGUGUUUCUGAAAACCACUCCCCACUAUAUAAUUUUUUUAGACCCUUAUACCCCCUCUCCUCUUCUGGAGGGAUUGCUGUGUAGACCUCUUUUCCUGGGAAUUUCCUUCCCCAUCAUCCUUGAAAUCUCUGCGAGUGGUCCUUCAGAGCUAACCACAGCCAACUGCCAAGAUUUCCCUGCAGGCUUCCUGGGAAAGCUGUCCCCACUGCCCACACCAGAUUGGGUGCGUGGCUGGUGCAGUCUUGGGGGGGAGGGUGCCGUGAAAGACUGGGCCCCCUAAGCUGGUCAUGCUCUUAUGCAUGUCUAGCCCAGGAAUCUCACCCAGACUCCUCUCUACUGGGGACCCUUGGCCCAGGCUCGUCCCAGUGUCUCUGUCCAGACAACCUUCUCGAGGGGAGGGGGGGAGACCCUGAGCAGUUUUCUCUACUCCGACUAAAUACUUGGCAUUUUCCAUCCUGGCUCCAGGUAUAAUAAUAUGACCAUUAUACCUAGGAAAAUAUAUAGUAGAAUAUAUGCAUAACUAUGUGGAAAUUAGGAAAAUUCUACAUGAUGAAAUUGCACUAUUAUAUACUCUAUAAUAAAUACAUCAUAUAUCCACUGAUAAUAUAACUA
Molecule: long non-coding RNA, 1547 nt
Filed under: Sus scrofa (pig)
Lineage: Eukaryota; Metazoa; Chordata; Mammalia; Artiodactyla; Suidae
Description: lncRNA (ENSSSCG00065007305.1)
Source: RNAcentral